UAACAAACAGAGUUCGUGAGGGUUGAUUAUGUUACAUUUGGUUGCCAUUCUUGGAAUGCUUUAAAAGGAUUAGUUACUCCCUGUUUCAAUGAUUCACACAGCUAUUGAUAACUUUUACGUAACUGGUAAUGAGCUACAAAGUUGGGUCUGCUUUAAGGUUCCUUUCUUUCUUUCAUCCAGAUUAGCAAGGUCGAAGUCCUUUCUUUCAUCCAGAUUAGCUGGCUCAAUGCAAUUAGGGAAUGGCAAGAGGAGUUCGUUGGCAAUAUGAACUGUAGGGAAUUUGUGAAUUUACAUAUUAGUUGUGUGGUUCUAGUAAUUGUUCGGAUGAUACGGUACAGAUAAAAACUCACAAACUCACAGAAAUUGGUAAUAAGAGAAAAGAAACCUUCAAGAAAGUAUCAAACGAGGAGCAACUGUGAUU
This is a long non-coding RNA of Populus trichocarpa (black cottonwood), 421 nucleotides long. RefSeq lists it as uncharacterized. The record is from RefSeq and is a predicted model, not a curated record. NCBI's taxonomy places the organism in Eukaryota, Viridiplantae, Streptophyta, Magnoliopsida, Malpighiales, Salicaceae. The transcript has 3 exons.